This 678-nucleotide non-coding RNA is filed under the name Polycarpa mytiligera. Lineage: Eukaryota; Metazoa; Chordata; Ascidiacea; Stolidobranchia; Styelidae. The record is from RNAcentral.
UUUAAGUUAGUUAAGAUUAAUUUAUUGUUGUUUUUUUAUUUUAGGAAAAUUCAUUUUGUGUUAAUUUAAUGAUCAAAGAAUAGUAAAUGUUUUGAGUUUAAGGAGUUAAACAAUGAUUUAUUUGAUUUAGGGUUAGCAUUUAUGUAGAUAAAUAAGGUGCCAGUAAUCACGGUUAUACUUUGUGCAUAAAAUGAAUUUAUAUUAUAGUGUAAGUCGUGUAAUUAUUUCUUAUUAGUAGAAUAUAAGAUGUAGUUAUUUUAAAUUUUAUUAUUGACAGGGAUUAGAUACCCCUUUAUAAAAUAUAUUUAUAAUAAAAUAGAAUUUCGGAAUAUAAAAAAUUAGACGGUUGUUAGCUAAAACAGAGGUGCUUGUUUAGUAAUAUGAUAAUCCUCAAUACAAUUCACUAUUAAUAAGAAGUGUAUGUCCGUUUAGAUACUUUCAUAAGUUAGUGUCUCUAAAUCCAGGUCUCCAUGCUAGUUUAAUAGUUUUGAAUGAGCAGCAAUGUUAUAUCGUGGAUUUAUUUUUGAAAAAAAUAAUGAGAAAGGAUUUGUAUGUAAGUUUAUGUAAAGAUCUUAAAUUGAAAUUUUUUAGCUUGGAGUACUCACCGCCCGCCAAUGUAAAUGUAAAUUUCUAUAAAGCGUAACAAGGUAAGUUUUCUAGAAAGAGAACUUGGUUUUA